Molecule: long non-coding RNA, 648 nt
Filed under: Danio rerio (zebrafish)
Lineage: Eukaryota; Metazoa; Chordata; Actinopteri; Cypriniformes; Danionidae
Description: si:dkey-29b22.4 (ENSDARG00000093118.2)
Source: RNAcentral
AUUCCUGUCGGCCAUUUUGACUUCUGAAUCAACGGCCACUCUGUUUUCAUCUGAGACUCUUCUCUAAUAUCACUGCAGACAAAUGUACAUCUUGAAUGACCUGAGGGUAAUCGGCCAGUUGUCCUCCGAUUGGCACAAUGAUGGUCAUCACUAAAUGAGGAAGAGCAGACACCAUCCCCACCUGAGCAGCAGACGGAGCAAAAAGAGAGGUUUUUGAACAAAUCAGGUUUACGAUAUCGCCUAAUAUACACAUCCUGCUGAACAGCCGAACACCUCCUCGAAAUAAGCGGGCUGGCUGAUGAGGAGCAGGUAGAAGGUCCAGCUUCUGCAGAAGUUGGCUACGAUGAUGGCAUACACUGGCAUGGAGGGGGUUGACCAGGCCAGCGCUUUCCCCGAUGGCGUCCUCAAUGUACUUCCUCUCCUCUGGUGUAAUUGUCGGGUGAGCAGCUGGACUCUCAUAGGACACUAAAAUCCAGAAGAGAUACCAGAAGAUCCCAACACUUCCUGCGAGUCAAAGAGAAAUGGAAUGCUGUUGUUGCCAGUCGGCUUCUUUCAAGCGGUGGAGCCCAUUUGGCCCAGAUCCCAUGACACGCUGGGUACGACACCCCCUUGAAGCGGACAAAUGAGAUGAAUUAAUGUGCACCCAUA